This 433-nucleotide ribosomal RNA is filed under the name uncultured bacterium. Its description in RNAcentral is "partial 16S ribosomal RNA". It matches the Rfam family "Bacterial small subunit ribosomal RNA", at positions 29 to 507 of the family's 1533-position model. The record is from RNAcentral.
AACGAACGCUGGCGGCAUGCCUAACACAUGCAAGUCGAACGAUACCUUCGGGUCUAGUGUCGCACGGGUGCGUAACGCGUGGAAACCUGCCCUUAGGUUCGGAAUAACUCCCCGAAAGGGGUGCUAAUACCGGAUAAUGUCUUCGGACCAAAGAUUUAUCGCCUUUGGAUGGGCCCGCGUUGGAUUAGCUAGUUGGUAGGGUAAAAGCCUACCAAGGCGACGAUCCAUAGCUGGUCUGAGAGGAUGAUCAGCCACACUGGGACUGAGACACGGCCCAGACUCAUACGGGAGGCAGCAGUGGGGAAUAUUGGACAAUGGGCGAAAGCCUGAUCCAGCAAUGCCGCGUGAGUGAUGAAGGCCUUAGGGUUGUAAAGCUCUUUUACCCGGGAUGAUAAUGACAGUACCGGGAGAAUAAGCUCCGGCUAACUACGUG